This is a non-coding RNA of Podarcis lilfordi (Lilford's wall lizard), 74 nucleotides long. The record is from the annotation of a GenBank genome assembly. Lineage: Eukaryota; Metazoa; Chordata; Lepidosauria; Squamata; Lacertidae.
GCCUGGAUAGUUCAGUUGGCUAGAACAUGGUACCGGUAUUGCCAAGGUUGCAGAUUCGAUGCCUUUAUGGGACA